GUGUCAGCAGCCGCGGUAACACGUAGGGUCCGAGCGUUGUCCGGAAUUACUGGGCGUAAAGCGCGCGCAGGCGGUCCGGUCAGUCGAUGGUGAAAGCCCCACGCUCAACGUGGGAAGGUCCGUCGAGACGGCCGGACUGGAGGCAGGGAGAGGCCGGUGGAAUUCCGGGUGUAGUGGUGAAAUGCGUAGAGAUCCGGAGGAACACCAGAGGCGAAGGCGGCCGGCUGGACCUGACCUGACGCUGAGGCGCGAAGGCGUGGGGAGCGAACGGGAUUAGAUACCCCGGUAGUCCACGCGGUAAACGAUGUGCACUGGGUAUGGCGGGAGUUGACCCCUGCCGUGCCGGCGCUAACGCAGUAAGUGCACCGCCUGGGGAGUACGGCCGCAAGGCUAAA
This 395-nucleotide ribosomal RNA is filed under the name uncultured bacterium. RNAcentral's name for it is "bacterial SSU rRNA". It matches the Rfam family "Bacterial small subunit ribosomal RNA", at positions 505 to 898 of the family's 1533-position model. The record is from RNAcentral.